This is a long non-coding RNA of Rattus norvegicus (Norway rat), 548 nucleotides long. RefSeq lists it as uncharacterized. The record is from RefSeq and is a predicted model, not a curated record. NCBI's taxonomy places the organism in Eukaryota, Metazoa, Chordata, Mammalia, Rodentia, Muridae.
AGGAACUGAAGCUUAGGGCAGGGGGCGGGGGAGUACUGGGAAGUGCCCAAGGACAUAAGGUGAAUCAUUAAACUGCAAGAUAUUCUCCUUAGACAAAGAGGCAACAGUCUUCCGGGGACAUGUUCUUUCUUUGAAAAGGUCAAGCCCUUCUCAGGAAUCUGCUCAGGGCAGGACUCUAGCUUUGCUUAGUUCGGACGUCCGGUCCCCGACAUUAUAUAUUAACUGCUGAUAUAUAUUUCUACUUGUAUUAAUAGUUCUAUCGAGAAUCUGCCUAUCACCAGGACAUCAGCAGCAUGUGUUGAGUCCCUUUGAGCUCUUUUCACAUCCCUGGCUAAGAGAUAAGAGGACCACUCUUGUGAAAUUUGAUGCCAGUAAGCAAGUGCUAUGGUGUUUUGCACUUUUCAUUGUUAGCUCCAAGCCCUGGAAGGUUGAACUUAAGAUGCUGAAGAAGCAAUGCAAAGAUAUCUAAUCAGCUCCAGUACACCUUGCCACUCUCACUUUUCUUUUAAAUGAAUAAAGAUGCUUGUAAGAUCAUGGGCCACCAAAAA